CACGUAGGCACCAAGCGGUGUCCGGAUUUAUUGGGCGUAAAGAGCUCGUAGGCGGUUCGGUAAGUCGGGUGUGAAAACUUUGGGCUCAACCCAAAGCCUGCACUCGAUACUGCUGUGACUUGAGUCCGGUAGGGGAGUGGGGAAUUCCUGGUGUAGCGGUGGAAUGCGCAGAUAUCAGGAGGAACACCGGUGGCGAAGGCGCCACUCUGGGCCGGUACUGACGCUGAGGAGCGAAAGCGUGGGGAGCGAACAGG
This 254-nucleotide ribosomal RNA is filed under the name uncultured bacterium. RNAcentral's name for it is "partial 16S ribosomal RNA". It matches the Rfam family "Bacterial small subunit ribosomal RNA", at positions 524 to 776 of the family's 1533-position model. The record is from RNAcentral.